AACACCGGCAGCUCUAGUGGUAACAAUUUUAUUGGGCCUAAAGCGUCCGUAGCCGGUUUAAUAAGUCUCUGGUGAAAUCCUGUAGCUUAACUGUGGGAAUUGCUGGAGAUACUAUUAGACUUGAGACCGGGAGAGGUUAGAGGUACUCCCAGGGUAGAGGUGAAAUUCUGUAAUCCUGGGAGGACCGCCUGUUGCGAAGGCGUCUAACUGGAACGGUUCUGACGGUGAGGGACGAAAGUUAGGGGCGCGAACCGGAUUAGAUACCCGGGUAGUCCUAACUGUAAACGAUGCGGACUUGGUGUUGGGUGGCUUUGAGCUGCUCCAGUGCCGAAGGGAAGCUGUUAAGUCCGCCGCCUGGGAAGUACGGUCGCAAGACUGAAACUUAAGGAAUUGGCGGGGGAGCACCACAACGCGUGGAGCCUGCCGGUUUAAUUGGAUUCAACGCCGGACAUCUCACCAGGGGCGACAGCUGUAUGAUAGCCAGGUUGAUGACUUUGCUUGACUAGCUGAGGAGGAGAGGUGCAUGG
This 527-nucleotide ribosomal RNA is filed under the name uncultured archaeon. RNAcentral describes it as "bacterial SSU rRNA". It matches the Rfam family "Archaeal small subunit ribosomal RNA", at positions 472 to 997 of the family's 1478-position model. The record is from RNAcentral.